This 213-nucleotide ribosomal RNA is filed under the name uncultured soil bacterium. Its description in RNAcentral is "partial 16S ribosomal RNA". It matches the Rfam family "Bacterial small subunit ribosomal RNA", at positions 26 to 231 of the family's 1533-position model. The record is from RNAcentral.
AGAGUGAACGCUGGCGGUAGGCCUAACACAUGCAAGUCGAACGGCAGCACGGUAAGAGCUUGCUCUUAUGGGUGGCGAGUGGCGGACGGGUGAGGAAUACAUCGGAAUCUACCUUUUGGUGGGGGAUAACGUAGGGAAACUUACGCUAAUACCGCAUACGCCCUUCGGGGGAAAGCCGGGGACCAGCAAUGGCCUGGCGCUGAUAGAUGAGCC